AUUUCAUACUAUUGCUUUCUUAUUUUACUUGUCAGCUUCAGAAAUGUUCACUUAAAAAGUCAGCUUAAUAGCGUUAUAUUUAUGAAUAAAAUUCUUUAUACUUUCAUAUUGUUUAUAAUUUAAACUGCUCUAUUUUAUUCUCAGUGACAAGGUUAUUACAAAUGCCAUUAAUAAGUAUGCUAUCUCAUUAUAAUUUUAUCAAUAAUUACUAUUUUUAACAUUUUCCAGGCCUGUCUUCAAGUUAUCUUCAACAUGAAUAAAUUUAUUAAAAUUUGUAUUCUAAAAAAGUAAAUAUUUAUACUUAUUUAAAGAUAAAAGUAGUAAAAAUUACCAGGAAUGUAAUUAUUUGUUUAAUCUUUUUUAUAUUUCCUUAAUCCAUAUUUCAUACUCCUUUGGUAUGCUGUGUUGAAAGAAGAUACUUUCUUUUCAGAGAAGUAUGUAUUUUAAGUACCCCUCAGUCCAUUUUAAUUCUUGAAGGAACUAGAUAACUUGAAAAAAUAGGUAAGCCCUUCUUAUUCAGAUCGCCAUUCUAUUCAGAUCGCCAUUCUAUUCAGAUCGCCAUUCUAUUCUACAAUUCUGCUUUCCAUUCUUUGGUCUUUAGAGUUGUAACUUUAAAAUACAGGCUUAAGGAAGUGAAUAACUGUAUUUUUCAAUUCUGUUUUUACUCAUCAAUAUUAUUCAGUUAUAUAGUAUAUAUGCUUAAACUUAUUAUGAUUAUUAGUUCUAACUAAAAUAUGGAAAAUAUAUUUUUGUCUUAAUAAUUGCUUUAGAGAAGCAAUAGUUCACCCUUAUCCACAUGCUCUUCUUAUUUUCCUUUUAAUUACCUAAAAUGUGACUGUAUUCAUCCAUUUUCAUGCUGCUGAUAAAGAUAUACCUGAGACUGAGAAGAGAAAAAGGUUUAAUUGGACUUAAACCUCCACAUGGCUUGGUAAACCUCAGAAUCAUGGCAGGAGGCAAAAGGCACUUCUUACAUGGUGGUGGAACCAAACCAAAAUUGAAAAGCCGCUAGAAUCAUGGAUUUCAGGGGGAAAAAUAUCCUUUUGUAUUGACUGGCAGGCAUUUUUGAAAGACUUUUGGAGACUCAUAGUACCACUUAAUGAUCUUUAUAUAUUUUAUCUAAAGUGUCUAUCCUCAAUUUUUUUCACUAUACAUUUCACAGAAAUUAAAUCAAUAUUAAGGAUCAAAUUCCUGGUCUUUCUGGGUUUCAAAGUACAAAGGCUUUCCUGAGUUCACAUUUUAUCAGGACUAGCAAUCUAAUCUUGAAAGACUCACCUGACCUUUAAAAUACAUGAACCAAC
This 1298-nucleotide long non-coding RNA is filed under the name Papio anubis (olive baboon). RNAcentral describes it as "lncRNA (ENSPANG00000043524.1)". The record is from RNAcentral. Lineage: Eukaryota; Metazoa; Chordata; Mammalia; Primates; Cercopithecidae.